Non-coding RNA from Petromyzon marinus (sea lamprey), 1008 nucleotides. The record is from RefSeq and is a predicted model, not a curated record. Lineage: Eukaryota; Metazoa; Chordata; Hyperoartia; Petromyzontiformes; Petromyzontidae.
GUGACUUUACCGAAAAAAACCAAAGAGUAAUUCCUGCAGUCACGAAAGCUUUGAAUCAAGUCUGUAGUGCCUCUUGUUAAACAGUGCUUCAGUUAAACAGGAAAAUUAAUAAAUCCAGCAGGCAUGACUUGAAAAGUAACAAAUUUACAUUUUGGGUGGCACUCUAAAUCGUCCGGUAAAUCGUGUCGCCAAUUAUAAUUUCUGCGUUUAUCUGCGCGUGUCUGUGUACCCCCAGUGGAGGAAUACGUGCGCAGCUUGCUGGACAACCCUGAGUUGAUUGACCGUCUGGCACUGGCCUCGGAGCAGGAUGUGGUGGAGUCCCGGGUAAUCUUCCCCGAACAUCUCCCGCUGUCCCAGCUGCAGCAAGGUGUGCGCUCCGGCCGGUUUGUCCAGGGAACCUUCCUUGCGAGUCGUGAGAAUUACCUGGAGGGGACUCUGAGGGUGCGAGGGGACGGUGACAGUGAUAAAGAGGUGUUGAUCCAGGGGCUGCAGCAUUUAAACCGCGCGAUGCACGACGACAUCGUGUGCGUGGAGAUGUUCCCCGAGGAGCGCUGGGUUGCCCCCUCCUCGCUGGUCCUGCACGAUGAGGGCGUCGCAGGGGACGUUGCAGAAGAGAAUGAGGAGGAUGUGGUGAGUGGAGCGUCAACACUGCCGAACCAAAAUCAAACCCAGACACCUGCAGUGUGCGUGUCUCUCUCCCCGUGGUCGCAUGGAUUUUUCUCCAGGUCCUCCGGCUUUUCCCUCCACAGUUACAAUCUGACAUGCACUUAGAGUAUUUGGCUGCUAUCAAUUUCAAAUGUGAUAAGAUACUUCAUUGAACGAUCAUUUGUGGCCAGGUCACUUAAAAAGAGCUAUAUAGCUCUCAGGGUCCUUACCUGGUAAAGUUAUUUAGUUUAUAGUUUUUAAAUAGUUUUAAUAUAGUUUAAACAAAGAAUAACAACAAAGACUCAACCACUUCAAGAGAGACCUUAAACAUAAUGAACACCGUGUGACCAGACAACAAUCCAC